RNAcentral lists this ribosomal RNA (460 nucleotides) under uncultured bacterium. RNAcentral's name for it is "partial 16S ribosomal RNA". It matches the Rfam family "Bacterial small subunit ribosomal RNA", at positions 338 to 795 of the family's 1533-position model. The record is from RNAcentral.
CCUACGGGUGGCAGCAGUGAGGAAUAUUGGUCAAUGAGCGGGAGCCUGAACCAGCCAAGUCGCGUGAGGGAAGACGGUCCUAUGGAUUGUAAACCUCUUUAGGCGGGGAGAACAGCCGGACACGUGUGCCCGGAGGGAGAGUACCCGCAGAAUAAGCAUCGGCUAACUACGUGCCAGCAGCCGCGGUAAUACGGAGGAUGCGAGCGUUAUCCGGAUUUAUUGGGUGAAAAGGGUGCGUAGGCGGUUUUUUAAGUCAGCGGUAAAAUGUCCGGGCUCAACCCGGGCCGGCCGUUGAAACUGGGGAUCUUGAGUGGGCGAGAAGUAUGCGGAAUGCGUGGUGUAGCGGUGAAAUGCAUAGAUAUCACGAAGAACUCCGAUUGCGAAGGCAGCAUACCGGCGCCCGACUGACGCUGAGGCACGAAAGCGUGGGGAUCGAACAGGAUUAGAUACCCGUGUAGUC